GGCUUAGUAGCUCAGUCAGUAGAGUGCUUGCCGCGUGAAGGCAUGGCGUUUCUGUCGCUGGUUCGAAUCCAGCCGAAGCCC
This is a non-coding RNA of Paragonimus heterotremus, 81 nucleotides long. Lineage: Eukaryota; Metazoa; Platyhelminthes; Trematoda; Plagiorchiida; Troglotrematidae. The record is from the annotation of a GenBank genome assembly.